RNAcentral lists this long non-coding RNA (31211 nucleotides) under Elaeis guineensis (African oil palm). Its description in RNAcentral is "long non-coding RNA (EGUI_LNC026331)". Lineage: Eukaryota; Viridiplantae; Streptophyta; Magnoliopsida; Arecales; Arecaceae. The record is from RNAcentral.
ACAACUUGUUCUGGAUCCCGCUGGGCGUCUAUAGUACUUUCUUAUGCAUUUCCAUCCACAGAUUAAACGCAUUAAAGAUUAUUCUCAAUCAAACAUCAAUCAAAUAGGGAAAUUGUUAAAGGAACACGUUGAGGGGUAGUGUAUCACUCAUACCAAAGAUACGUGGCAGUGAGAAUCUUAUUUUGGUCUGAUCCAACCCUCACCCUCUAAGAUUGCCAUCAAAGCAAUGACCGAUGAUGAAUAAAUACAAUUUUAAUGAUAGACAUAUCAUUCCAGAACGGUAGAGAAAGCUACACUGAAAGAAGUCAUGCAAUAUAUAAUGAAGUAGUGAAUUUCGCUUCAGAUCCAAUCGAUCCCCAUCUUCUCACUGGCCCCUUUAGAUGAAGCUCCUGUAUUGGUGGGUGGAAGGCUCAACCAAUUCUAACUUCCACCACCGACCCUAACUUCGGCCAUUGAACUUGGUUGUGGUUGCCCCUCGCGGCUCCGCCCAUGGAUCCCUAGCCACUAGUACUAGAGUGACACUCGGACAUCGGGCAUCAAUCUAAAAAAGGACCUGAGCCUGAUAUCAUCUCCUACCGAAGGAUCCUAUACCAAUUCCUGCUUCUAGCCGCAAGCUGCCCUCCCUUCAACACUAGUUGGCUACUGCAUUCGAAGAAGUCAACCUUCAUGCCAUCACAUCAAAUCACAUUACCCCACGUGGGGCCAUACCACUCCAACCACUAGCUGCGUGACAAGAAAGACUACAACAAAUCAAGCUAUCCUAUGAGUGGCUAACUAUGCACCAAAUAAGGUGUCAUCCGUCAUCAAAGUCCAAACCAGGAAAAAUGAUUACCUGGACCAUGCCCAAGUAAUCCACCCAAGUCCCAAAUGAAUAACAUGCCACUGCAACCCCUGUAUUUCAUAAAUCCGGACAUCUUAGGUGGUACGGACGAAGAGACUAGAAUGGUCUCCCAUUAUUUUUCUAUUUAUUGCUUUCGCCUCUCUAUAAAUAGAGGUAAAAAGGGAUCCUUCAAGUAUGCACAUGCAUGCACCCUCUACACCUCUCACUCUUCUUCUCCUUUAUUGUAUUUUUUUGACUCGGGCAUCAAAGGGCCUCUGUCGGAACUAACUCCAAUCGGGACUUAUUUUGCAGGUCACCCCCAGUCAUCUCUGGCCACCUCUAGCCACCUCGAUCAGAGUCAGAAAUCUUUCACAAUAGAUUAGCACUAGAGAAAGGGCCCCGCCCUCAUUUUUGGAGAAAGAAUGAGAGAUCUAUAUCAUGGCGCCACAUAAAGGAACAUCCUCCAUCGUUUUAGUGCCGCCAAUUCCCGAUCGAUGGAGAAUUCCACCAACCCACCGGCUUAGGUGCCGCCUUUGGAGGCUCUGCCCUCAACCAGAGUGAUAGUCAACAUGGAGCAAUUUAACCUACUGGUCCAGCAGGUUUAGAAUUUAAUUGCUGCUAUCCAAAUAAUAUAGUAGAGCAAUCCCGCGCCACUGGCCGCUCCACCAUCAGAGCAGGAUCAGGUCCACUGCAAGGCCUUAUGUUGUGGAGACAAACUUGACAAAGCCACCCCUAGGCAUCAAAGCGUAAGACGCGACGAUCCCCAAGUCCUCGCUCUGAACAUGAUUCCACCUCAGACAAAUCCCACUUGCCUUGCUUCGAAGCAUGCACUGUCUGAGAUGUAGAAAUUGACUGCAGAAUUCAAAACAUGAACCAACGAUUGAAGCUCUUCGCAAUCAAGCUCCGAUGCGAGAUGAUCGCUACAACACUGAUCCACCAUUCAGUGCUCGGAUCAUGCAGGAAUCACUUUUCAAUCACUUUAAGAUGCCACAGCUAGAGAGUUACGAUGGAAUCACCGAUCCUGUAGUCAUUUGGAGAGCUUUAAGGCCAUGAUGUUGCUUCAUGACGCCACUGAUGUUGCCUUGUGCCGAGCCUUUCCCUCCACUUUGAAGAGUGUGGCCUGGCACUGGUGCUCAAAUAUGAAAUCCAAGACUAUUCACUCAUUCGACUAGAUUAGUUGAUUAUUUGUGACUCAUUUUGUCAGCAGCUGAUGGCAGCACAAUGGAUUGGACUCAUUGAUCAACAUCAACCAGAAGGAAGGACAGUCACUCUGAUCCUACAUCGGCUGCUUCAAUACAACCAUACUAGAGGUUCGCGACCUAGAUCAAUUGAUUGCAAUGAUCAAUCUGAAGGGCCGACUUUUGAAGAAUGGUCUCUGAUAUUCACUGAAAAAGACCUACCCCACGAUUUUAUGAAAAUACUAGCUCGAAAGAAAAAAUAUAUCCGAGAAGAUGAAGCCUUUGAAAAUAAGCCCCCGAGCCCCCGAGUGUAGAAGAAAGAAAAGAAGAGAAAGUCAAGAAGCCUCCAGCGAAGAAAAACUAUGAAAAGAGUCAGUGGUGUUCCCAAUCUCUGCCCAAGCAUUGGAGGAUCUGAAUCCCUCCAUGGAACUACCAACACAAGAGUCUUAUUAGAGGGGGGCGGUGCAUGACUCCGCUAAGAAGGUUCACGAAUUACACUACGUUGAAUGCUCGCCAAACUCAAGUGCUAAUAGAAAUAAAGGAGAAGCUCCCAAAGAGAUGAAGAUGAGGAUAAAGCUGGGUCAGCACAAUUCUAAAAAGUAUUAUCUCUACCACCAUGACCACGGCCAUGACAUAAAGGAAUGCAUCCAACUUCGAGAGAAGAUUGAAGAGUUUAUUCAUCGCAGGUGCUUGGACCAAUUCAUUAGGUGCAGGCAUGAAUAGUAUGAUGAGUGGUGGGCGAAACCCUGACAGUUAGAACAACAACAAGGAGAGCCUUCCAUGGAUCGACCCUAAUCGGAUUUAUCAAUACCAUCACCAGAGGACAUUGUGCUGUUGAGACAAGAGGAGUCGUCGAACCUUUCAAAAGGCAGAGAACUGAAGAACCGAUAAUUUUUACUGGAGAAGAUACCCAAGGAGUUCAGUUUUCGCACAAUGAUACAGUGGUUGUAUCCCUUAACAUAGAUAACUAUCAUAUACGCCGUAUUUUGGUUGAUAAUAGAAGUAUAGCCGACGUGUUGUUUUAUGAUGCUUUCUCCAAAAUAAUCAUAUCCCCUAAGCGGCUAGGGCAAUGGACUCCUCCCUCAUGGGGUUCACGGGUGAUGUGAUGUCCAUCGAAGGGGUUAUUACUUUGCCUGUGGUCGUCGGAUGAUCCCCUUGAUGAUCUACAGCUUAGGUUGACUUUCUUGUGGUUCAAGCACCAUCGGCCUACAAUACAAUCAUCGAACAUCCCAGACAUAACAAACUCCGAGCAGUAGUAUCCACAUACUACCUAAAAAAUGAAGUUUCCAACUGAGUUUGGAGUUGGUGAGGUUUGAGAAGACCAGACCCUAGCCUGACAAUGCUACACAAUCAUGCUCUAUGACGUAAGACCAUCCAAAGUAUAUCCAACCGACGGGCUGGACACCCACGAUGAACGCACAAAGGAAUGCAGAGAACCAAUAGAAGACCUUGAGAUGAUUCCACUGAAUAAUGGAUCGAGUCAAACCUGAAUCAAGUAACCAAGAAACAUCUCGUUUCCUUUUUGCAGAAAAAUAUGGAUAUAUUUGUCUGGACCUCAGCUGACAUACCAAACAUUGAUCAUAUGGACAUGACACACUGACUGAGUGUUAAACCAACUUAUCAAUCUAUCAAAUAAAAGAAGAGAAGUUUCAUGCCUGAGCGGCAAAAGGCGAUAGCCGAAGAAGUAGACAAAUUGCUCGAUGCUGGCUUCAUCCAAAAAAUAACCUACCCUAACUGGAUAGCAAAGGUGGUCCUUGUGAAAAAGAAAAAUGACAAAUGAUAGAUCUGCAUCGACUUUAUCGACUUAAAUAAAGCAUGCCCGAAGAACAGCUAUCCACUACCUCUGAUCGAUCAACUGAUGGAUGCUAUUUCAGGUUAUGAACUCCUCAUCUUCAUAGAUGUCUUCUCCAGAUAUAACUAAAUUUAGAUGGCAUUUGAAGAUGAGAAGAAAAUAGCUUUUAUUAUUGACCAAGUCUUUUUUGUUAUAGGAUUUUGCCCUUUGGCAUAAAGAAUGUGGUGCAACUAAUUAGCGCCUUAUGAAUAAGAUUUUCAAAGACUAGAUAGGAUAAAAUAUGGAGGUCUAUAUAGAUGAUAUGCUUAUUAGAAGUAGAGCCUCGUAAACCCAUGUUAAAGACCUCAAAGAAACUUUCGAAAGUAUUGGAUGAAGCUGAACCUGGUGAAGUGUGCUUUUAGAAUUAUUUCAGACAAGUUCCUAAGGUUUAUGAUCUCAAGUCAAGAGAUUGAAGCCAACUCCAAGAAGAUCAGGGCUAUACGAAAAAUGAACCCAUCAAGAACUGUAAAAGAGAUUCAACGCCUUACCGAUCGAGUGAUGGCACUAAAUUGGUUCAUCUCUGGAUAGGCCGAGCGCUGCCUCCCCUUCUUUCAGGUCCUGAAGUAGUCUAAGAAUUUUUGAUGGACCGAACAGUGCUAGCGCCCAUUUGAGGAGCUGAAAAGUUAUCUGGAUUCUAUGCCACUCUUUAGAAAGUCGAAACUAGAUGAAGAACUCUAUUUAUAUUUGCAAGUCUCUAAGGUCACUGUGAGCACCGUACUAGUUCGAGAGCAAGACAAAAUUUAAAAGGCAAUCUAUUACAUUAGCAGCGUUGGGCUUCGGUUGCACAGUAAAAUAUGAUUUUCAAUAUUUUAACAUGCAUUUAACUAUUGAAAAUAAGUUUUAAUAUUUAAAAUAUGCUAACCGGAGUAUAAAUCCUAGGAACAUUAUGAUGAUUACAAUCAAACAUUUUAAGCAUGCAAUAAGAUAAGAGAUUAUACUUUCUUAAAGAUAAGAAUCUGAUGAUUAAUGAUCUCCACAAGACACCAAAGUAGACGCCCUCCAAUGGUGAUCCACAUAGGACAGAUUAGGGUCCUUCCCAAUUCGAUGUAGUGCUACAGUCUUCUUCACAAGUCUACUGCUGAAUUUCUUCUUUAGGAACAGUUUGCACCACCACUUGAUUGCCCUCUAUCCUCCACUAGAACCAUAUCAGAGAUCUUUUUUCAAACGAUCUCACCACACAAAUCAGAUUCAGAUGUCCAACACUUGAACAAUCUAAACCCUAGGACAAGCGACAAUUGCCUUCCAUUUUCUUUCUUGAUUACCUUUCUAUUUUUCUCUCCUCUUUUUCUUAUCUUUUUAUUUCCUUUUCUUUUCUGAUUUUUUUCUCUUCUUUUUCUCACGUGAUCUCAUGCCUAAACCCUUAGGAUUGGAUGCCAUAUCCCAAUUGAGCACCCCUUAAAUAAGGAAUGAAGGGGCGCCUCAUACAAUUGUGAGCACCAAUUCUUGGCAUUCCACCUUUCUCAUGCAGUGAAUUAUUCACUGGAGAAAUUAGUUAGGUAUGAAAGAAGAGGAGUUUCAUAGGUAGGACUCCUCCUCUAUGCACAGAAACUAAGGUGCCAUCAGAUGGCGCAUCCAUAAAGAAUUAGAGUGGAAUUAAUGGGAAUACGAAAGGUUGUUAAGAGACUUAAACAAGGACUCUCCUUCUUAUUAACACCAAUAUGUGUGGCGCCACAUUUAUUUUGCAUGGAAUAAAUGGCAUGGAGGUGGUUUAUUCAGAUGGAACUCUUUCAUACAAAUCAGAUAAGCUACCUAAUAUUCCAUAAGUUCAAACCUAAUCCAAUUAGGUUAAGAUAAUAGGAUUAGAGUUAGCAUAAACAUCUUUGCACCAAAUCCAAUUGAAAACUUGGAUUAAUUCAUGUGCUAGCAAUUUAAUUAACCCAUAGAAUUUAUAAUAAAUCCAAAUAUAUUAGAUCAAGAUCAAAUUUUUAAUGUGUGUGACCCAUUGAGUUUCAUAUCUAGCCAGCAGUGGAUUCAGGCUCAUGAUCUAAACCAAUCCGAUUAGAUUAGGUCAGUCCAAAUGCAUCAAUUAAUCAGAAUACUUUCUAAUUAAUUUUCAUAUUAAACUCUUUUAAUUCUUGCAAUUUCACAAGUCAAGAUUAAUAUCUAGCAACACAUCAUGACUAUCCAGAAGAUAUAAAAUUUAUUAAAAAUAUCAAAAUUAUCUUUUUAUGAUGAGUUAUCGUGCAAUUCAAUCUUUCGAUCACACAAUAUUCGAAACAGGCCAUGGGCAUGGAAUUAUGUCAAGUCCAAAUACCUAUCCAUAUAUAUCUCGAUCUGAUGAUGAUGACUCGAUUGAUGAAUCAAUAGAAAUACUUUCGACUGUUCAUCCUUACUCUAGUCAGAGACUCUCUGAGUUAUCAUCCUCUGAAAUGAUAUAGGAUGUUCUCUCCUCUUAUAAGGAGUGACUGAUUUCUUGUUGAUCACUCACAACUUUCAUGCACACUUCACUAUACCCACAACAUUCUACAUAUGUCUUAAAGAGUCAUGCUAGAGUAUAAAUUAAAGUAUGAAUCCACAUAUAUAAGGUACCAUUAUGAUAUCAGAUCUAAAGAUCACUUGCAUCACUUUCACUAGAGAACCAUCUUUUGAUAUGCUGUAAGACUCCAUCAGAUGUUCUCCCUAUGGAUCAGUUCAAUGAACUUAUUCUCUAAUGAGCACCUAUAUCUUUGUAUUAGUAUCACUACAUAAGUGAUUAUGAGAUCAAUCAUCCUUUUCAUUGAGCAUACAUAGGAUGUACCAGGCUUACAAGCAUAUCGAUCUCUGAUUUGAUGAUCCUACGACUGAAAAUAUUUUAGACUAAGACUAUCAAGAUUUUAAAUCUUACUGACAUGAUCUCAUCAUGAUCCUAAAAUCAUUAUCUUAAUCUAUAGUAUUCAUUAUAAUCAUAAAUAAAAAAUAAUACAGCAAAUGAUGAAACACAGUGCCUUAUAUAUAAAAUAGCUAAUAUCAUGCACAUGAGUAGAAAGAUAAUACAGAAUAGCCCCAUCACAUCACCCAUAAGAUUGACUUAUAGGAUACUAUUCUUUCAAUCUCCUACUUGCACUAAAGUCAAUCGUUCCUGUACCUGAUGCCCAUGCAAUCAAGGUGGUGAUCACACUGCUGUUAUGAUUGGGCUUAAUGAAUAGGUCUACUAUACAGUUCUGUAUAUCAACUCACUGUAUGAUCACAUCAUAAAUGAGAUGAAAGUGCUUUAGGAUGUGUGGAUUUCAGGUAAGACCACAUCUAACUCAGUGAUGAACCCUUUCAUUAAGCGACUUUCUUAGCAAUCUUCACUUGUAGCAAUUAAUUGAGUCAAUUAUAGUUCGCUGUUUAGAACUCUUCCAAUUUACUACUCUAGUACUUCUCAAGUGUUGGAAAAAUAUAUUUUUUUAGUUUUCUAAUGAUCCUAUCCUGGAUCUGCCUGAAAUCUAAUGGUUAUGCCCUAGGCAUAAGCCGCAUCAGGCUUGGUACAUAAUAUACAUGGGUAAGUAAACACUUUUACACCCAUUUAUGUUGAACAUCUUCAACACAAAAUAUAUGUAUCUAGACUAGGACAAACCUAGCAUCCAUUUAGAUCUAUCUCUAUAGAUACCAAGUAUAUCAGAUGCUUCAGCCAAGUCUUUCAAGAAAAAUUUCUGUAAUAGUAAGGUAUUGACUGAUUGCAACAUCAAGAUAUCAAUCUCAAUAUGCAGUAUGUCAUCCACAUACAGAACCAAAAAGUCAAUGGGACUCCUAUUUGUCUUCUUGUACAUACUUGAUUCAUUCAUAUUUUUAAUAAAAUUAAAUAAUUUGACUGUCUCAUCAAAAUGGACAUAUCAACUCCUCGAUGUCUGUUUUAAUCCAUAAAUGGAUUUGUUUUCUUACUAGAGACAAACUCUCUAGAUGAUAUGCAACUAUAGCAAGCAACAUCCGAUGGACAUUCCUGUUAGCAACCUAUGGGUCACACCCACAAGUGCUUCAACCAAAAUCCAUACUUGAUUGGUACACCGAGAGUCCAUCAUGGAUUUUAUAGCUUCAAGCCAUUUGUCAGAGUUCCUAGGUCAUAGGAUCAUCAUUCUUAGUGAUGUAUGGUGUAUUACCAUUCUUAAUGACAAAUCUAUAUUAGAGUAGGACAUUACAUACUUUGCUUGACCUUCAGAGAGGAGGUGUGUGUUGUAGUUGUACCUCAUCAAUGGGCACAUUAGGUCGAGAAUCAUUUUGUAGAUACUCUACGGGUUAUAGUGGGAUAGUUCAUAGGUCUUGAACUUCUCAAGUUCAAUUAUUCUCCCAUUACCCCUUCUUGGAUAAACUCUUUUUUUCUAAAAAGUGGCAUACCUACUGAUAAAAUAUCUUUUAUUUAGUAGAAUGGUAGAAGUAGUAUCACAUACUACUCUUAGGAAACCUACAAAUUUGUACUUAUUUGAUCUAGCACAAAACUUAUAUACAUCAAUUUUUUUCACAUAAGUUGGGCAACCUGCCUCUUUCCUUUUCGUAUCACAUAUGGAGUGUUAGUAACAGAUUUUAGUGGUACCUUAUUUAAAAUAUAUAUAACAAUUUCUGGGGCAUAUCCAUAGAAUGAGUUUGGAAGGUCUGUGAAGCAUAUUAUAGAUUGCACUAUAUCUAAUAAGAUGCAGAUCCUUCUUUCCGCAAUACCAUUUAAUUGUAGAGUGUAUAGAGAUAUCUAUUUAGAGAGAAUUUUAUUAUCAAGAAACUUGCUAGUUAAGUAUUUUCUCCUUCGAUCUGAUCGAAGAGCUUUAAUACUUCUACUAAUUUAUUUCUCAAUGAUUCUUUAGUACUCUUCGAACUUAUUAAAGAUUUUAGAUUUGUAUUUCAUUAAAUACAUAUAUCCAAAUCUUGAUAAAUCAUUAGUAAAUAUGAUGAAGUAGGAGUAUCCACCGUUGGUUUGAGUUGAUAUUGGGCCACAAACAUUCAUAUGUACUAGACCCAAUAAGUCACUUGCUCUAUCUCCAUGUCCAAUAAGUAGAGUCUUGGUCAUCUUAUCCAUGAAACAAGAAUAUGAUUCAAAAAUCAUACAGAUCAAAGAACUCUUCUUUGUAUUACUUAUUUAUUUUUGACUCACUAAUAUGGCUAAGUUGGCAAUGUCAGAGUUAUAUGAUAUUCACAUAUUUUUUUUUCCUCUUAUUUUUAUCAAUAUGAAGAACAUCAUCAUUGAGUGAUAGAAACAUGAGACCAUUAUCAUUCAUUCCAUAGCCAUAAAUUUUCAGAAAGAGAGCAACUUUUGCUAUUAACAUUAAUUUCAAAAUCAUGUUACAAUAACAAAAGAAUUAAAAUAUAUUUCUAAUAAAUUUAGAUAUAUAAUAAUAGUUUACUAGUUUCAUAAUCUUGUCAGAAGGCAACAUUUACAAAUAGAUUCCUUUAGCUUCAGCCUGAAUGGACUCUCCACUAGUGCCAAAUAAUAUGAGGUCACCUUUCUUAUUCCUUGCAGUCCCUACAAUGAUUUGCAUAAGUGAGACCUACAGAUGGUAUCUAAUACCCAAUAAUCUAAAGCUGAAGUACUUAAUGAUAAAUUAGUCUGUAUCAUAUACAAACCAUUAUCAGACGUGACUUUUGCAUCCUGCUUUUGCUUACACUUACAAGAUAACUCUUGUAAUUUUUUUUCAUUACCCAUCAUUGCUAUAAUGAAAAUAGAUACCUUUGGUGGAGACAUUCUUUGCCUUAUUUUUUUGAAUAAUGCUAAAGAAGAAAUCCAAAAGAGUUAGCAGGAUCAAAUUCUGGAUUAACUCACUAUCCAUCACAAGAAUCUAACUGACCUAAUUGCAUGAUUAAGUCAAUUAAGAUACACUUGACAGUCAUACUGUCAACCCAUCAUAUCUCAUAUAUGAUUUUUCUUUCUCGAAAGCAUCAUUUUCGAUUGAAUUAGAAUCAGAAGAAUAGGAGACUAUCUCCUAAGUAAGAACUAUUCUCAGAUUUCUCAACCAGUCCAUGAGGUUCGAUCAAUUUAAAAGGCAUCAAAUAUACCUUGCAGUGAUAGUAAAGAUGAAGAUAUAUUUAUAAGAAUAUAAAAGGACUACUCAUGAUAAUAUGCAUAAUUUAGAUGAGAUCUUUUAUCUAAUCAUAUCUCUCACUAAUUUAGUAAAUUCUAUAGCCCUCUAGUAUGGAAAAUGAGAAACCCUAUCGUUAGGUUCUUUAGUGGGGUUGAGAUCCCAAUUUCUCUUUAAAAGCCUUAUGGUUGCACAAUAAAUCUUUGAGGAGUUCAUAGAUAAGAAACUAUUUUCAAUUGCAUCUCAUGCAAUUUCCAACAUAACUUUUGCCUCUAAAAUACUUGUAGUCUUGUGGUUGCAUAACAAACUAUAAUAUUUUAGUUAAGUCGUAUCCUUCAUUAUCAUAUGGUCAUAUCUGAAUAAUACUAUUCUUGUGGAUAGCAUAAUAAGAUAGCAGUAUCCAAAUAUACCAUAAGCAUCAUUAUGCAUCAAGAUAGUAUCACAUCAGUUCUCACAGCAAGUCUUGUGGUUGCACAAUAAACCUACUGUAGUUCCUGACAUAAUAUUGGCUUAGCAUAAAGGAAAGCAUGAGGUAGUUUUCUUAAUACUUCACCAUUAUGACUUAAUAUAAUUUAAAUAAGGGACUUAUGUCUCAUGCACGUCCAUAACAUAUAAAUCUAUCACAUGCAAUUUAUAUUUAAUUCUAACUACUAGCAUAUAAGAGCAUAUAAAAGAAAUCGAAUGGUUUUGGACUUUUCAAGUAUGAUCCAUCCGAGCCACUUGGAUGAAUUAUGAGUCACAUCCUGGUACAUCAUAGACUGAACCAUCUUAUGGUCAAUCUUCAUGCACCUCUACUCUCUAAUUAUCUGAUAGUCCAGUUUUCAUCUUCAUAAAACUAUGACGAAUACUCCAUCUUCUUUAUUUAUUUAUAAAUAAAAAAUAAUUUUUAUCUAUUUUUAAAUAAAAUUUUUUAUCUUUAAAUUUUACAUCAAUGUGUAAAAGUUUCAAUCAGCAGUUCAGAAUAUACAUAGAAAGGAAUAGAAAGAUACAGCUAAAAAUACAAUGCAUCAGGAGCACCUAGCCCCUAUUAUAACUAUGCAGAUAUACCUAUACAAUCAGCUAACAUAGAAAGAUUCAUAAAUACAUCCAUCACAUGGGUGUAUCCUAGUCCAAAACUAUCUAUCAUACAAUUUAUAACAAUUUAUUAAGGAUGAUAACAAACUUCCCAUGUUAUUCUAAUAGUAAUAUCAUUUAUGAUCAUGUCACUUAAGAUGUUUAAAUUCAUGGGCACAGGACCCAUCUAGAAUUUUUGAUUCAGAUUCAACUCUUGAUCCAAUCUUAAUUUUAAGUCAACCAUAUGUCACCCUCUUGAGAUAAGUUAAUCAUUUCUUAAAUAAACACUUAAUCAAAUUAGGUUUGUAAAGAUUCGAUCUACUAUAACUCAAGACCUAAUCAAAUUGGGUUAAUGACAAUUAAGUCAACAAAAUUUUUAAACUACUUAGAACUAUGAAUCUGAUUUGAUCUACAAUCAUUAACCUUAAUUAUAUUGGGCCAAUAAAUUAUAGUCAAAUCAAAUCCAUCAUCAAAAAUCCUAAUUAUUUUUUGGAGUAUCUUUCUAUCAGGAAUAGAUUUUUUAGCCACCCACGUGCCGAGGACAAGAACCAUAAUGGAAGACCCACCAUGAUGAAUGCCCAAUCUAUGGUGGCUGGCACUUGGGUCUAGGGUGAAAGCAUCACAUGCAACAACCUUAAUUCUUGGCUAUGUACAUCACAUGUAGCAUUCUAAGGUUCCACGCAUCGCAUGCACAAGACUUAUAAUUCUAUGAAAAAUAGAUCACAAGAUCUAUCCUAAACUUGUCACACAAGUCUAAAUGUCAUAGAAUUUUAUACCAAGGUUUGAUCAUGGACUAAUAACUUUUAUUCUUGACCAAAGAUAUACCAAAUCAGCAAUUAAACACCAAUUAGAAAAUCUGAUUUUGUCAUAACAUGAAUUUAAUUCAAUCAAUAUCACAACAAUAACAUGAUAUUUGAUUGAAUCAAUCAAAGAUGACUCUGAUACCACUGUUGGAUUUUGGUUAUACAACAAAAUACGAUUUUCAAAAUUUUAACAUGCAUUUAACUAUUGAAAAUAGGUUUUAGCAUUUAAAGCAUGCUAACCGGAACACAAAUUUUAGGAACACCAUGAUAAUUACGAUCAAACAUUUCAAGCAUGGAAUAAGAUAAGAGAUUAUACCUUCUUGAAAAUGAGGAUCCGAUGAUCAAUGAUCUUACAAGACACCAAAGUAGGCACCCUCCAAUAGUGAUCCACAUGGGAUAGAUCAAGAUCUUUCCCAAUUCGAUGUAGUGUUGUAGUCUUCUUCACAAGUCUACUGCUAAAUUUUUUUUAGGAAUGGGUUGCACCAUCAUUUGAUUGCCUUCUAUCCUCCAUCGGAACCACACCAGGAAUCUUUUCUCAAAAGAUCUCACCACACAAAUCAGAUUCAGAUGUUCAAUACUUGAACAAUCUGAACCUUAGGACAAGCAACAAUUGUCUUCUAUUUUUCUUCUUGAUUUUCUUUCUAUUUUUCUCUUCUCUUUUUCUUAUCUUUUUCUUUCUUUUUUUUCUAAUUUUUUUCCUUUUUUUAUAUGAUCCCUCACCUAAACCCUUAGGAUUAGAUGCCAUAUCCCAUAUGGAGCACCUCUUAAAUAAGGAAUGAAGGGGUGCCUCAUACAAUCCCAAGGAGCGCCAACUUUUGGCAUUCCACCUUCCUCAUGCAUUGAAUUAUUCACCAAGAAAAUUAGUUAGGCAUGGAAGAAGAGGAGUUUCACAGACAGAAUGACUCCUUCUCUGCAUAGAGAAACCAAGGCUCCAUCAGAUGGUGCAUCCCAUAAAGGAUCAGAAUGCAAUUAAUGGAAAUAUGGAAGGUUGUUAAGAGACUUAAACAAGAAGGACUCUCCUUCUUAUUAAUGCCAAUAUGUAUGGCACCUCAUUUAUUUUGUAUGGAAUAAAUAGCGUGGAGGUGGUUUAUUUAGAUGGAACUCUUCCAUACAAAUCAGAUAAGCAACCUAAUAUUCUAUAAGUUCAAACUUAAUCCAGUUAGGUUAAGACAAUAAGAUUAGAGUUAGUACAAACAUCUUUACACUAAAUCCAAUUGAAAAUUUGGGUUAAUUCAUAUGCUAGCAAUUCAAUUAACCCAUAGGAUUUACAAUAAAUCCAAAUAGAUUAGAUCAAGAUCAAAUUCUUAAUGUGUGUAACCCUUUGUGUUCCAUAUCUAGCCAGCAAUGGACUCAAGCUCAUGACCUAAACUAAUCUGAUUAGAUUAGGUCAGUCCAAAUGCAUCAUUUAAUCAGAAUACUUUCUCAUUAAUUUUUGAAUUAAACUCUUUUGAUUUUGAUGAAUCCACAAGUUAAGAUUGAUGUCUAGCAAUAUGUCAUAACUAUCCAAAAAAUAUAAAAUUUGAUAGAAAUAUCAAAAUUAUCCUUCCGUAGUGAGUUACCGUAUAAUUUAAUUCUUCGAUCAUACAACAUUCCAGACAGACCAUGGGCAUGAAAUCAUGUCAAGUCUAAAUAUCUAUCCAUAUAUUUUCUGAUUUGAUGAUAAUGACUCGAUUGACAAACUAGUAGAAAUACUUUCUACUGUUUAUCUCUGCUCUGGUCAGAGACUCUAAGUCAUUAUCCUAUAAGACGGUAUAGGAUGUUCUCUUCUCUUAUAAGGAUUAACUGAUUUUUUAUUGACCACUCACAACCUUCAUGCAUAUUUCAUCAUACCUAAAAUAUCCCAUAUAUAUCUCAAAGAGUCUACUAGAGUAUAAACCAAAGUAUGGAUCUACAUACAUAAGAUAUCAUGGUGAUCUUAGAUCUAAGGAUCACUUGCACCACUCUCACUGGAAAACUAUCUUUUGACAUACUGUAAGGCUCCAUCAGACGUUCUCUCUGUGGAUUAGUUCAGUAAACUUAUUCUUCAAUGAGCACUUACAUUCUUGAUUAGUGUCACCACACAAGUUAUUGUAAGAUCAAUCAUCCUCUCCAUCGAGCAUACAUAGGAUGUACCAGUCUUACUGGCAUCAUCGAUCUCUGACUCGAUGAUUCUAUGAUUAAAAAUAUNNNNNNNNNNNNNNNNNNNNGGAGUUUGUCAUAAUCAUAAAUAAAAUAUGAUACAAUAAAUGAUGAAAUACAAUACCUCAUAUAUAAAAUAGCUAAUAUCAUACACAUGGGUAGGAAGAUAAUACAGAAUACUCCCAUUGCAUCACCCAUGCGAUUGGCUUGUUGGACACUAUUCUUUCAAGUAGAACUCUCUAUAAUACUAAGACCAGGUACAUCAGAUUGGAGAAACUUAUCAUUACCCUUGUCAUUGCCAUCCAAAGGCUUCGGCCCUACUUUCAAGCACACCCCAUCAUCAUCUUGAUGGAUCAACCUUUAAAAAUGGCCUUACAUCGGCCCAACACAUUUGAUCGACUGACUAAAUGGACAAUUGAGCUAGCAGAGUUUGGAGUGAAACUCAAACCUCGACCUUCUAUCAAAUCUCAAGAUUCGGACAUACUUUAUCAUGGAUUGCACCAUCCUGAAGGACCAAGAAAGGCCUGAAUCAGUCUAAGAAAGGAUUAAAUCUAUUGAACAAGAUGCCUCUGAAGAACUAGGUUAAUUUUGGGUGGUGCACAUGGAUGGAUCCUCCAACUCUAUUGGAUCAGGAGCAGGUUUGUUACUUCUUGGGUCGGGAGGAGUCGUUGUUGAGUACAUUUUGAGGUUCGACUUCCCAACAACCAACGAUGAGGCUGAGUUUGAGGUUCUCAUCAUAGGAUUGUGGAUCGUAAAAUAACUCGGAGUGCAGAAACUGAGGAUCCGCACCAAUUUUCAAUUGGUGGCAGGGCAAGUGAAGGGAGAGUAUGAAGCAUGGGAGGAAUGCAUGAAAAAAUAUCUCUAAAAGGUAAAAAAUCUAAUCCCAUCAUUCGCUGAUUUUGAUAUUCAAUGGGUGCCUCGGGAGAAAAAUUCAAUAGCCGAUUUGUUGUCCAAAUUGGCAACUUCGGCACCAAAGGAUCUACAUCGAAGAAUAUUCUUUGAGGUCCUGAAGGAGGCUAGUAUCAAAUAAUUGAUCCUGAUCCUGUAGAUUGAUGUUGAAUCCUAUCGGAUGGAUCCGUUCAUCCACUUUCUACAAGACGAGAUACUAACCUCAGACUCCAAGGGGGUUCGGAGAGUCAGACAUCAAGCCCCUCGUUAUAUCCUUUAUGAGUGCAAACUCUAUAAGUGGUCAUUCUCACUCCCGCUCCUCGAAUGUCUUCACCCCUUUGAAGUUGAUUAUGCCUUUAGAGAGGUGCAUGAGAAAAUAUGCAGAAACCACCUAGGUAGUAAGACAUUGGUCUACAAGUUACUGCGACAAGAAUAUUACUGGCCCAUGAUGCAAGAAGAUGACGCCGGCUUCACCAAAUGCUAUGAUCGAUGCUAGAGGAAUGUCAAUGUCCCAUACCAAUCAACUGUUCCAUUGAUCCCAAUCAGUGCCCUUUAGCUUUUCAUGCAAUGGAGGAUGGACAUUUUGGGGCUUUUCCCAUAAGCAUCGGACCAAAGAAAACUUUUGCUUGCCGCCAUUCGCUACUCUAUAAAAUGGAUGGAAGCUGAAUCCCUUGCCAAAAUCACUAAAGCCAAAGUAAAAGAUUUCAUUUGAAAAUCUAUAAUUUGUCACUGUGGUCUUCUAUGGGUGUUAAUCACAGACAAUGGCCAUCAAUUCUCCAGCUCCAAAUUUAAUGACUCUGUUAAAGCCUUCACAUUUCUUAUCACUUUAAAUUUGUAGGACAUCCAUAGGCCAAUAGAGAAGCUGAGGUUACCAACCGCACACUCUUGUAGGGGUUGAAGGCUAGAUUGGAUCAGACCAAAGGAUCCUGGGUGGAUGAACUGCUUUAGACCUAUUGAACCACCCAAAGGGUACCCAGGGAAGAGACUCCUUUCAGCCUUUUCUUUGGGAUGAAAGCGGUUAUCCUAGUGGAAAUCAGACUUUCAUCUCUGCGGGUUAAGAACUAUAAUGACCAAGAUGAUGCAGAAAUACUUCAGUUCAUCCUAGAUUUACUUGAAGAAGUUUGAGAAAAGGUAUAGAUGAGGAUGGCAGCUUACCAGCAUCGGAUAGCAUGAAACUAUAAUUCUUGCAUCCGCGGCAAAGAAUUUAGAGUCGGAGAUUUAGUCCUACGAUGCAUCGAAGUGUCACAACCCAUAGAGUAAGGAAAGUUAUCUCCUAAAUAAGAAGGCCCCUACCUAGUAGAUGAAGUCAUCAGGCCCAGGAUGUAUCAUCUAAAACAACUGGACAGAAUGCUCUUACCUCGGUGAUAAAAUUCGGAGAAUCUUCGAAUGUAUUAUCAUUGAUGUAAUAUUUACUUUUUAAUAAAUUAACCUUCUUAGGACCGUCGUUCUUCUCCCAAUUUUCAAUGGUGACCCGAUCCCCAUGCAAAUCCCCAAGAGCUAGGAAAAAGUGUUUGGCCUAUCGGACCCUCACAAGCAUAUCCCUAGAGCAGCUAUCCGAUGGCUUUUCGAUAAUGCGGUCUCAGCAAACUUCAGAAAAGGCUACCACUAUAAAAUAAAGAACCCAUCUACAAAGAAGGUAGACACAAAAGUUCUCUUUUCAUUUCCUUCAAAUAUUUAUAUUUACAAAAGCAGCACUAUGAAAGUGCCACAACAACAAAAAAGAAAAGAAAAAGGGGGAGAGCAGGGGGGCCAAAAAUGGGAUGAAUAGUCAAGGCCUAAUCAUCAUCUUUCGAGAAAAAUACUCUGACUUCUUCAUCACUAUUCUCCAAAUGGAGUUGAUGUAAGGCCAACUAUGGCAUUUGAUACUUGAUGCGGGUCUUGUAGUUCUCAAAGCCCUGGAUGAAUCCACUGCAGAGGUAUUGAGGCGCUGCCCUUUGAAGACCUCAGAGAUCUUGUACUCCACGAUACAGCAGAGUCUUGCUUCGGUGAAGGCUUCAGCCGUGGUCCCCUAGUGGGCUACUCCUCCCAGAAUAGAGGACCCCUCACCGAGGGCCCUCGGAGGAAUCGACUCUGAUAGGGGAGCCUUCGCCCUGUUGGGCAAAGACUUUCGCAAGUGCCUAGCAUUUUUCUUCGCAACCUCUUUCAUGAGUUUGGUGAUGGCUCCAUCACUGUAAAUCACUUAGGAAGAACUAAUUGGGGCUCUCAGAUGGAUGCCCCAACUGCAAGGGAGGCUUUCUAUUUACAUAGGUUUCAGGUGGUGUACACCCAACCAUUUGGCAAUCAGACUGCGCCAUGCGUGUGAUUUUGAAAUGCCAAUCAUCGUAGCCAUUAACUGUGCAUUUUCGUUACUAAGAAGUAACCAGUGAGAUGCCCUGGGAACCACUUCAACUCACCAUGUGGCAAUCAGAGAUUGGCCCAAGAUAAAUUCUCAGUCUGCUCCCUGGGAAAGUCUCAUUUGCAAUUAUGACAAACGGAGUUCCAAUGCACAUCGUGGACUGGUGCCUGGGUUCCCGAUAAGCAAGCUCAUGGUCAGACUUUGACCAAUGCAAAGCCAACUAUUGAAACCCCUCAAACGCAUUUAGGAUAAACUUUAGGUACAUCAUCAAUGAUGUACUAUCUUCUAAUGAAACAAUCCUUUUCCAAGGCAUGAUCGCUCUUCUCUCAAUCUUUGUCAAAGACCUUGAUGACUAAGAAACAGGGGCUAACCCAUAGAGGACUCUUGACUCCUCUCUUUUUAGCGAGUUGAGCAUUGGAAGGCCUUAGUCAUAUGGAAAGCGAAGGCUAAUCCAUUAAGCACCUUCGGAGAGGGACUAACCAAAAAGGACCCCCAGUAUCUACCAAUUCAAACUAUAUGAAUUGAAGACCUUGGCGAUUAAGAAGCAGAGGCUGACCCAUAGAGGACCCCUGACUCCUCACUUUUCAGUGAGUUAAGCUUCAGAAGACCUUAGUCAUAUGGGAAGCGAAGGCUAACCUAAGAAAAUCUUCAGAGGGCUAACCUAUAAGAAUCCUAAGAGCCUGUCAGCUCCAACCAUUCGAGAUUAAAAUCUCGACCGAACUCCAGGAGCUUCUUGGAAAUGCUUCAUCUCCAGACGAAUAUAACCAUGAGAAGAGCAUUUCAUUUAUGAGCACGAAGACGGUCAAAAGAUACCCUUUAAAAAAUAAAAUCGUAAGAUCUGACAACCGCAAGCAUAAAAGCUAGGGUCCAAAGGCCGCAUGCGUAUAAGCUACGGCAUACAUGUGGCCAAAGCAGACAAUACCUAUCACUGGGACGAGCCCUCAAUCCUUCAAAUCCAGUCUGAUGCCCCUCCUUACCCCCAGGAAAGUUGAGAGAGAGCAUUCUUCAUCCUGAAUAAUAUCAUCGGCUUCAGCAAAUUAUCAGAUAUCGAACAAGGUAUAUCGACAGCAGCUACGUAGCACCUAAAGAUGAAAGAAAAUAUAAAAAAUAAUAUUUACUCCUUGAAAGUCAAAUCAUCAUUACAAAGGCAACAGUAAAAGGGCAAAUAUAAAGAGUAAGGAUGACAGCUUCAGCAAGUUUAGGCCACACCAAUAAGCCACUAAGGGUCCCUAUGUUGGGACCCUCCCAUUGGUAGGGGUUGCAACCCCCCUGAGCACCACUUCAAUAGCCGCAUGGCCAUCCCUCUUGGAAGCACGUAUCUCCCGGACACAUAGACGGAGAUGCCUGUAGGGACACAUUUGCCAAUUGGACAUCCCGUCAGAGGCUGUGGAAGAAGCCGCUCUAUCAAAUAGGAAGUUGGAGCCCACCAAAAGCUGAGGGUCUCCCCUUCAAGUGUGGCAGGGGAAUAACCCCUAGCUGCCAUGGACCCAAAUCCUCCCCCACUAUGAUUGAAGGUUUCUAGUACCUUCCAUUCCAAGCUGAAGUCCACAUGGACCCUGACGGACAGGCUUGGGGUGCCAACUCCCCCAGCCAUGAGACAUCGAUUCCUUAUCGGGAAGAAGACAGCCUCACCGCGCCAUGGAGUGUUGCGAAUGGAUCUCCAUUCUAGGAGAACGAAGGAUCCCCCUUGUAAAGGGAGAGAGAGGUAGGUCACCCCCUGGCAACCUCCGCUCAUAAAGUCAAAUAUCAAUUAGGGAAGUGUCACAUAAGAUGGUUUUAUCCAUCAGCAAGGAAUCCGAAUCUUGUGCCAUUAUGGAACUAUCAUUCCCAAGGCAUGUGACGAUUGAAGCAAUAUGCCCUCAAGAUUUCAUGAAAGCAGCUUUUCAGAAGAGAUUCUUAAGAGAUCUUGAAUAACCCCAGCUUUUAUAAGAACCCGUGAGGGCCCUAUCUCUCAUGAUACUAUUAACCACAUCUGGAGCUUUGGCUCCUAACCAUCUCCAAUGCAAAGUUAAAAAGCACCAAGUUCGGAUUACAUAAUUGAAUAGAUCAAGGAAAAGAGAAACGACAUAGAUAAAAUAUGAGACUUUAACUUAAAGCUUUUUAUUAGUAAACUUGUCCAAUUAUAGGAGUCAAAUUGUGAAAAACAAACGACUAUAGCGAAUGAUAAUAAAAAAUAAUAUAUGCAUUGAUUAUAUGGGAGGUCCCCCUCCUGUUGACAAAGCAUUGGCAUGUUGCAAACUCGGGGCAUCUGAAAUGGUAGGGGCAUCCUUGAUGGUCGAAAAUUCUUCAAUAACUAGGACACCCUCGAUUGCCAAGCACCCAAAACUAGUAUCGCCAAUAUCAAGCAUCUUACGGAGGCCGGUGUCCAUUUUGGAAAAAAGCUAGGCAAUUAGGACCUUGCACUCCCCAAAGCCAGCUUUGAAGGCCUCCAUAGAUGCCUUCAUGGCCUGGAACUCUGCCUCCCCUUGGCAAGCAACAAGCAGGGAUUCCAGGCAUUUAGCUUUUGACUCGACAAAUCUGCCUACCGCCUCACUCCCUAUCAAUCUAAUUUGAAGCUCAACCAUCCCCGAUCUCUCUUUAUUCAUAGUCCAAAGGAGACUAUCGACCACUCCAUGGGCCAUGGCAAGCUCGCUUUGAAGUUUAGCAACUCUGGACCACUCUUUUUUUAAUGACCGAUCAAGAUUGUCGAUUAUCAUUCAAGCCAAAUGAAGCUCGCUCUGUAGCUGAUUUGUCUUGGCGAACAAGCCCCAUCUGGUCUUGCUGGUUGUCCUGGCAAGUUUAUCUCGCUCGUUGAUCAAUUUGUAUUUUUUGGUGAGAUAUUAAAUGCAGAUCUGCCUGGAGCAUGCCCUCAGUCAAUCUAUCUUGGUCGAAGCCUCAUCAUAUUUUUUCUUCAUCCUCAAAGAUUUUUGCUUGGUUUCGGCCACUUCUCUUCUAGCCUUCUUAAUACAUUUUUUGAGAACUUUGACCUGGGGUCUUAUCGGUAGGACUGUCAUCACAAACGAAGCCCCAGUGCAAUAUUUACAUCGAUCGAACUGAGACAAACACACCACAGCAAUCAUAAGUCGAAGAAAGAGGUAAAAUUUAUCUUUUUCAUUAACAUAAAAAUAUUUUAUUACAUCAGCAAGAAAAUAAAAAGAAAAGAUAUAAAAUCUAAGUAUCUACAACCUCGGUUGGAGGACCGAUGGAGGAACUUGGAGCAUCUUCGGUGGGCACCGAUGGCAAUGAAGCUUCAGCAGCAGUAGGAGCGGGUGCGUACCUAGAUAGCAUUCCCAAGUAGGUGUAGGGUUGGAAGCCGAAUGUUCGAAAGCCAGACCUUCUGUGGCUUCUUUUUCUUCACGCUCCUCUACCUCCCCUUUCUUUUUGUCCAGAAAGGUCAAGUCAAGGUCUGAGAAGUGCACCGUGAUCUUCUUGCAGUAGUCAUCCUGUCCUAUGCUGUAAGUCUCAUGGUCGAACUUGACCUUCACCCGAAAAUUUUCUUUGACUCCCGAAAGGCUUCAACUGCCAGAUGCCUAGCUUCAAUGACCUGGCUCUCCACUUUUUUCUCUUCCUUUGUCGCCUUGUCCCGGUCUACCCGUUGCCUCUUCUUUCUGAAAAAUGAGCUGGACUUGGCCUUCUCCUUAGCAGCUUUGGCCUUGUCUAGCACCUUUCUUCGGUGCUUGGUUUUAGCCUAGGCAGCUUUGGUUUUGGAUCGGGCCUCAGUUGUGGCAGCCUCCGUGCCUCCACCUUCUUCUCUGCCUCGGUGGCAUCCAACUCAACGACCCAUAGCAAAUUGGCAAAAGCAAUAAUGUGAUGGCCCAGCUGCAUGAGAAAAGAAAAAGAAAAAAGUGGGGGCAGGGUCAAGCAUUGAAGGUGAAAAAAAAAGAAGAAAAGAUUGCAAAAGAAGAAGGAGAGCUCACUCGAACAAAGAAAGUUAUGACUUUCCUCUGCCACCUCCUGAUACCUAACUCCCUGAUCCUAUUGAGAUCGGUGUCGAUGAGCAUCCUCUCGAUUAUAGGGUAGGUGGUCUUCCAAUCCUCAAAGGUCGCACCCACCAUAAACAUGGAUGGGACCUCCCCUCGCCUGAUGGAUGCUUCGGUAGAGCUCUGGCUCGACCGACAAGCAGAAGCACCCUCGACCUGGGGGGCAGGAAGAGCCAUGAGCAAUGGAGGACGAGAUUGGAUUGGUGGAGCAGAUAUCGCCUCCACUUGAGUAGAAGUGGGAGGGAUCAUCUCUCCUUGACCAGCUUCAGAGGGCCUCUGCUUCUUUUGGCCCCUGUCGGUUGUUGAUGAGAAUGCCUUCCUCUUUUUCUAUGUGUUCUUCCUCCUCGGUGCCUUGAGCUCUUUAGGCUUCAUGUCUACGACAGAUCGAAGUAAGCUUAAAACAAAAGAAAAAGUGGAAGAGAGGAAAGAAAUUAGAUGCCAUAAGACUCUUAAACUGACCUCUAGGGUUGAUCGGACUAGGACCGAUACGGAAGAGAGUCUGCUCUGGUAGCAACUUCUUCAGAACAGAAAUGUUGUACUCCCUAAGAUUUUGGAGCACUCUAAGUCCUCUUCUCCCAGCUUUGAGACCUGAAAAGUAGAGUCCCUCGACUGAUCUCAAUAGAAAAACCUAAGAUACUUGAUGAAAGGGUCCGAAACAAAUAAAAAUCGACCCUUUCACUCAUGGAUCGAAGAUGGGGCCCCAUUGAUUAGGAUGGAGACCCCCUUGGGUGGCGAGACAUACUAUCAAUCUUCGGUCCAUCUCUCGAUGGUAUAAAAGGAUUGAAAAAGGAGAAUCGAGGAUUGGACUCUAACCAGGAGGCAAAUGGCGAUGAAACCAAUAAUAAAGCAAAAGGAGUUGGGGAUAAUAGAGUAAAGAGAGAUAUUAAAGAAACAAAAAAUUUCUACAACAAAAGGAUGAACGGACAACCUGAAACCAACUAUGAAUGAUUCUUUAUAUAGAUCGAUUCUACCAAGUGGAUGAUCAUCGAUUCUACAGCUGGGCCCUGGGGACUCCAACUCGAACGAGAUUGAGAUCCCAUAUUGGGCCCGUAUCAUAUCCAAAUUUUUCGAAUUCAGUAUGGACUUGAUGGCAUCGGGCACCAAAGAUGGUUCACCCUCAUGCCCAAUGUUAGAAUCGAUGGGGUCAUCGUCUGAAGGAAGAGAGAACCUAAAAGAUCAACUCUCACUAAAGCCCUCGGAAUCAACCAUCAAAAGACGAAAAAAGAAAAAUGAGAAGGAGAACCGGCCAAGAAAAUCAAAGAAAAAUAAAAAGGAAGGAGAAAUCAAAAAUCGGUAGGGGAACGAUAAGACCCACUAUGAUGGUAUGGGAGACGAGAAUAGCUAACCGAGAGAGGUUAUCGGAGGAAGUCGCUAGCAACUCGAGGAGACUGGGGGAGGCAGCCAGAAGGAGAAUUUCUCUAAGAGCUUGAAGGAGGCCAAAAACUUUGUCAGAAAGAAAAGAAAAACUUUGAGAGCAUAAGAAAAGCCAAAAAGAAAAUGCUACCCUUUUUUAUAGGCACAGUGAAGUUAGUACAUCCUGGAUACUAAAUUCCUCCUGACCGUCAGAUAGCCAACAUCUGGUGCACCCCCAUUGGCCAGCAGAAGUCGACAGAUAGCCCAUUUAUGAGUGACACUCGGAACGAAGCACGUCGUCCUUCGAAUCUCGUAAAUCCAUCCUAUCUUCUUUAUUUAUGAUUAACCCCUGACAUGACCCCUCCUUUCUUCGAAAAGACACAGACGCAUCAUUCUAGCGGCAACGAUAGCAUGUCUUCAGCGGCCACAGAUCGGCUUACUCCUAUCAUCCAAAUCCUCUCCGAUUCAAACUCGAGAGGAGGGGGCAUGUGUUGGGGGGUAGUAUGUCGCCCAUAUCGCAGACUCGCGGUAGUAGGAAAACUUACUUCAGUCUGAUCCAAUUCCCACCCUUCAAGAUCGCUACUACAGCACCAAUCAAUGGUGAAUGAGUACAAUUCUAGUGAUAAAUAUAUCAUCCCAGAACUAUGGAGGAAGCUACAUCGAAAGAAGUCAUUCGAUAUAUAAUUGAAGCAGUAGGCCUCACUUCGGAUCCAGCUAAUCUCCAUCUUCUCACUGGCCCCUUCGGAUGAAGCUCCUGUAUCGGUUGGUAGAAGGUCUAGCCAAUUCUGACUUCCUCCAUUGGCCCUAACUUCGGCCAUUGAACUUGGCUGCGGCUGCCCAUCAUGGCUCCGCCCAUGGGUCCCUAGCCACUGGCACUAGGGUGACACCCAGACAUUCGGCAUCGAUCUAAGAAAGGACCUGAACCCGAUAUCAUCUCCUAUCGAAGGAUCCCACACAAAUUCCUGCUUCUAGCCGCAAGCUACCCUUCCUUCAACACUAGCUGGCUAUCGCAAUCGAAGAUGUCAACCUCCAUGCCGUCACAUCAAAUCGUAUAAUUUCAUGUGGGGCCAUACCACUCCAACGGUUGGCUGCGUGCCAAGAGGCCCUAUCAAAUCAAGCCAUCCUAUGAGUGGCUAACUGCGUGCUAGAUAAGGUGACGUUCGCCAUCAAAGUCCAAACUGGGAGGAAUGAUUAUUUGGACCACGUUCAGAUAAACCACCUAAGUCUCAAGCGAAUAACACACCACUGCAAUUCUGUAUUUCAUAAAUCCGGAUAUCGUGGGUGAUAUGGAUGAAGAGACCAGAAUAGUCUUCCAUCAUUUUUUCUCUUAUAACUUUCGUCUCUCUAUAAAUAGAGAUAAAAAGGAAACCCCCACGUAUACACAUACAUGCACCCUCUAUACCUCUCGCUCUUCUUCUCUUCUAUUAUAUUUUUUUGAUUUGGGCGCUGGAGGAUCCCUGUCGGAACUAACUCCGAUUGGGACUUGUUUUGUAGGUCACCCCGCACCAAUCAUCUCUGGCCACCUCCAACCACCCCAACUGGAGUUAGGAAUCUUUUGCAACAGAACACAAAAUGGAUAUUUAUGGAUUUGUAUUUGGGAAGGUUAGCAAACUACAUUCAAGUUGCAAUUUUAUCAAAAUGGUCCAAAUCUAGCUGCACGUACUUGAACUUGAAUUGGCUCAAGCUUAUUUCCACGUGAAUCAGGUCACUAACACACUAAUUUGCUUCAGGCUUCAUUAGCCAAGUGAAUAUUUUGAAGAGAAUUUUGGUUCAGGAUAAAUGGGCGUCCAAUUAGCUGAACAUAACUUUGCUUAUGUGAACAAAUGAAAUAUCUAGGCCAGUUAUGGUGUGCCCCAGGGAUGUCCAAGGAAAAUGAGCUCCCUCUCAUUAUCCAAAACAAAUUAGCUCAAAUUUAAGUAGGUCUAGUUCCUUAAUUCGAUUUGCACUUGCAUUUGAAGAGGAUUAAAUUGAAUUUAGAGUGUGUUUGGUUUGCACUUGGAAUUGGAAUGGAAAUUGGAAUUGCUAUAUUCCUCAACGUAUUUGAUUCGUGAUUAAAAUUGAGAUCCAAAUAUGAUUUGAAUACUAAGAAAGAGUUUUGAUUAGGUUUUGGGGGAUCGGAGCAUUCUCAUUCUUCUUUGAAAUUAGAAUGGAAAUGGGACUCUCCCAACUAAAUGACUAGAAUGAGAACCAUUCAUUUCUGCUUUUAUUCUAGAGCUUGACUCUAUCCAACCAAAUAUGCUUUCUAUGUAGUUGAAAUACAGAUGAAUUUGGACACAAUCUCACCUUAAUUUUUAAGUAAGAGCAUGGUGACGAGCUUUCGUAGAGAUAAAGUUGGUCACAAAAGUCUCAAAAAUCUGGAAGUUAGACCACUGAUUCUUUGCAUAGCUCAGCUAUAGCUGACUUUUUCAUUUUCAUUUUCUGUUUAAAACUAAAGUGCUGAUGCUAAACUCUAUCUAAUUCCAUAUAAUAAAGAUGAAAUACCGGGCGACACGGACUUUUAUUUGUUUCCUCAUAAGAAUAAAUCCAUGUACACCAUACCGCUUGCUAAUUCUUAACCAAGAAGCAUCCACCGUAGAAAACCUGCUAACCAGAAGUCAAAAGAUUAAAGAUCACCGUGAUUAGAUUGCAGAGUAAAAUAUAAUCACAUGUAUAGACUUGCAAGUCAAUCAACUAGGAGUCUUUGAAAAAGGUUCAUCAACUCAUCAGGGGAGCUCCCAAAUGAGCCAAAUAUUCAACACCUCAAGUGCAUUUCAUCUCCCCACGUGUCAUCACCAUGCCUCGGUGCCGCUACUCGAGCCGCAUUGCUAGACUGCCUUGUCCUGCUCUUCCUUUGGGUCGUUUUGAUCCUCCUGAGCACAGACCUCCAAUACUCCUGGUUCACCGUGAUCACACCAUCCAAUCCCUCUAUACUAUGUAAUUGCCAUUGCAAUCAUACAUAUGAAUAAAUAUGGGCAAGGGAGUUGUUGUGGUACAAAAGGGAGGUCUUCAUUAGUUCCACAUUAAUUAUCAAUUAAGAGGGACUCUGGUUAAUAUAAGAGGAAACCAUGCUUCCCAUGUGAGAUGCCUUUUAAAAGAUAAAACUAUAAAACCCAUGGAUCAGAACAGAUAAUACCUUACAUAUCGAAUUAUGAGUCCUUGAUUGUAAUAUUGACACCCAUCAUAGAGUGCAUGCAUCUCUUUCGGAUUGUGGGGCUCCUAUCCAUACAUCAAUCUACAUAGACUCCUCUCUGACUAAGGGGUUAUGUUGUGGUAUAGAGAAAAGGACUUCAUUAGUCCCAUAUUGGUUAUGACCAAUGAGUCAGAACGGAUAAUAUCUCACGUAUUGAGUUAUGAGUCUUUGAUCGUAAUAAGAGUUUUGUAUAUGUACCUAAAAUUUUUAUGUAAAUACCGGAGGGUUAGCCCAUGAAUCACAAUUUACAGUUUUUAGGCUGGGUGGAACGAGCAGGGUCGAAAUAACUACACGAGGUUUUUCUGUUUUGAUUUGAUGAGUGAUGCUCUACGCACCUUGGGCUCCGCUCCCAAGUGCCAACACGCUAGCACGGGCUUAGAAGAGGCUUUGGCGACUGUCUGGGAUGGACAAAGCAUUUUCCAAAUUCAUCAUUAGAAGUGACAUUGCAAUCUCAAAUGAACCGCCUUGCUGAAGUAUAAUUAACCUUUCUAAGCCGGGUUACCAUGAGGAUGCCGCUCACCCUACUUUGCUAGGUCCAAGGGUGAUGAUGGCCUUUUCAUUAUGUUUUUUGAAAUAAUUCAAUAUAUAUAGAAAGACGUCAAUAGUCAGCGGAUUGGAUAAUUUUACGUAUAAUUUGUAAUGACCCGGCCCAAAAUUUUCUCCUACAUGAAUCUCAGAGCAAUGAUGGAAAAGGGUUAAAAACAAUAUUGGACCUCGAUGGGGCAGGCGAGGUGGAAGAGGAGGACUCUCGAUGGAAGUCAGCCUCUUCUCUAAUUUUGGCAAGGAAAGGGGAGUUUGAAGCACGUUGGACUCUAACAAUACCUAGAUUCAAUCUAUAAAAGACCUCUACUCUUUCAUUUGUGGAUCUCAUUGUUGAGACCCUAGUCAAUCUUUGCCAAUAUUAUGUUUGAGUUUUCUUUAAUCAGCCAAAAAACCUCGAUAUGUCACCAUCGAUUUUUCACCAGAGUUGAGGUAUUGACCUCAAACUCUUCUCCUUCUUUUCCUUUCUAACCCCAAGACCACCAUUGACUGUCAAAUUGGUGCUAUUGGCAGCCGAAUUUCAUGGUGAAUAGGGCUUUCCCUUAUUCCUUUCUCCUAUUAUUUUUUGGCCGAGCUGGCCACCAUUGCUGGAUAUGGCCAUGCUUGGACUGUUGAGGGCUAUCGCCAUUGCUGUUACAACCAAGAGUCAUUGCUGGUUGUGGUCGCUAUCAUGGGUGUGGUUGAUCCUAAAUUUCCAUCUUCCCCUGUUUCCCACAAAGAAGAAGGGGAAAACAAGAAGGGGGGGAGGAAGGGAGAGAGAGAGAGAAAAAUUUUUCUUCUACACACCCUCUCUCUCUUUUGUUUUUUCUUAAGAUAUCUUCUGGACUAGUGGAGGAUUCAGAUAUCUAGGCAAUCUAGAUUGAUUGAUUGAUUGUGAGAAGGAUCCUAGAUAUAUAGUAUUGUAACCACCUAUUUUAUUUUUUUUAAAUUGUUCACGAUCUUCUAUGAUUUUUAUGAUUGAUCUUGAUUAUGUACAGAUGCAACUAUUUGCACCAAAAGAUGUCAAGCGGAACAUCUUAUUUUCGAGUUUACAAAUCGAAGAGUUUAUCAAUUUCUAUGCUCGUCUGAAAUCAGUAGAGAUAAGGGUUCUUUAACAUGAUCAUCUACAUAUUUAUGAAAAAUUAUGUCUAUAUGAUUGAUAUAUAUUCUAUACCUAUCGAUUUGUGUAUUAUACGCUGUUAAAUCGAUACUGCUUGAAUUAUAAUUAAUUGAUACUUAAUAAUUAUCGAGCAAGAAAAAUAUGAUUUAACAUAUUUGAUGUAGUGUAGGCAGUAUUUGGAUUGGUCAGUCAUAUAAGAAACGUAGUGUAUAUACUAGAUCAAUCUUGGAUUAGGAUGCAACAUUAUUUUUAGCCUGCUAUGAGCUGAAGCAUGACCGUGACUAAUCUAAUAUCAAAAGUUAGAUUAUAACUUUAAUAAUAUGGACGGGGCAUGGACGAUGUUUGGAAUAAUUGGUCAUGCAAGAAAUGUGGUGCAUGUGUUGGGUUAACCUUGGACUGAGAGUAACACAUGUUUGGCCUACCAUAGACUGGAGCACGGUUAUAAUUAAUUUCAAUAUCAAAAAGACAAACAUUAAUUUACAUAAUUGUAAGAGUGAAAAAAAGGAGAGCAUGUGGCCUAGUUGGUCAUGUGUGAAGCAUUGCAUAUCAAUCGUAGACUGAGAUAUGAUUCAUGGUUGCUAGCCAUAGACAGAGAUAUGGUGUAUGUUUAGCUUGCCAUAAAUUGGAGCAUGAUUGUGACUAAUCCAUUAUCGAAAUUAAAUCAAGAUGAUGAGCUGUGUCUCAUUAAAGGAUAUUUGAAUUAGCCAAUACACGUGAAACGUAAUAUUUAUGAUGUCAGCCGCAGGUUGAGAUGUCGUUGUUAGCCACAAGCAGAAACAUGGUGUAUAUUUGGCCUGUCAUAGGUUGGAGUGUGAGCGAAUCUAGUUUAGUGCUGAAAUAAUAAUAUUGUUAAGAUCAAAAUUGAGUUAACCAGUUAAUGAUAAGAAACUCAAUGAAUGAUUGCUGAAUAGAAUUGUUGAUUGAUGAUAUGUGAUAUAAUGAAUAGAAUUGUAAUGAUAUUAUUUGAUUAUCAAAUUGAUGGUGUAUGAAUUUUAUUAUUUUUUUUAUCAAUUUUAUAUAUAUUUGCUAAAAAAUGUUCUAUAUUCAUGCUAGCAUGAGUAUGGGGAUUCUUACUAGAUUUUAAAAAGUAUGCAAUUCUUCUUUUUUUUUUUCAGAAUUGCAGGACACAUAGUUUCAAAUGGAUUUGAUUUGAAGUUCGAGCGACCAUGUUAUCUUAUAAGCCUUGCAUGAUCUCUAAAGCUUUAUCUUAGAUCUCAUAUGGCUGUGUCACAUGAUCGAUUUAGAUGCUCGAUUCGAGAUAUAAUAUAUUUACUAUUUUAGAAUGGUAUUUUAAAGCCCUACAUCUUUGUUGUCUUCUCAGUUUCAUAAUAUUUGUACUAGGAUACUAAUACCUGCAUGUCCGACGAUAUAAUUUUGCUGCCUUAUAGAAUAAUUUAAAAAAAUAUAUAUAUAAUUAAUGCGAAGAGAUUUUUAUUUUCUCUAUUUUUGGGCGAAGAAGUAUUCGUUAUUAUUGGAUAAUUUUUUUAUAAUCAGACCGACUAUAGAAGAAAUUAUGAUCCAACAUGCUUCGAAAAUAUCUAUCAAAAGAUGGGUAGCGGUGUACACUUACACGACUAGUUAAAAUAUCAAGAAAAGAGUUUAGAUAAACAUCACAUAACCAUUCUUUUUUUGAUAGAUGUCAUAAUAUAUGCAUGUGACAGAUGAUAACGGUCUAACUAUAAUUCUUUUCAUAAUCGAUCUGAUUAUAAAAAUUUUUUUAUUAUUAUUAUUUUUCUUAAAAAAAUAUUAUUAUUAUUAUUAUUAUUAUUAUUAUUUUUGGGGAUCCAUCUAAGUUCAGCAACGAUGGGCCUUUCCUCGCAUGGACGUGGAGAGGAUCCCAACCUUCUAUUUUAUGAUUUUAUCUAAGCGUGUAUAAAAGGGCAAGAUUCCUCAAUCGAUCAAACAUCCGUCCCUCUUGUACCACAUUUUAUCACCGCAGGUAGAAUGGGUCCGCCACGGCCGCCACCACGCCAGCCAGAACCCCCGCCACCGCCGCCACCACCCAGGCCAAGAUCGCCACCACCGCCCAGGCCGAGAUCGCCGCCCCACAGGCCGCCGCCGCCGCCGCCGAGGCCCAGACUCCACCACCACCGCUACCCAGACCGCGACCCCCGCCACCCAGCCUGCCGACCCCCGCACCGACCGCCGCCACCGAGGCCCCCGCAUAGACCGACACCCUCUCCAAGACCGCAACCCCCGCCCAGACCGUUGCCACCGCCCAGCCCCUGGCCGGGAUCUUCGCCAUCUCCCAGGCCGCCGCACCCUGGACCUCCACCGCGCCGAUCAUAACAGCCUAGGCCGCCACCGUCCCCCUGCCCGCCUUACCAUGAUCAUGUUGUCCACUCCCUCACCAGUAUGGCUUGCUAUGGCAAUGGCAUAUAGAACAAAUCUUUAGACAUCUCAUGAAAAUAAGUACUAUUUCUAUCAGAUAGAGACCUCUUGCUGUUUGAUUCGUGGAUUUGUUGGAGAAUGCAAUGUUAUCCUGAAAGAUUGUGCAUGACCGAUCCAGCUAUGAAGUUGGACUUUGUAUCUGUUGAAGUGUGUGGGUGAGACAUAUGUACCAUACGACCAGUGUCCCAGAAUGUUUGCCUCUUAGAACAGUUAAAAGUCUUGCAUCAAAUAAGACUGCAGGUGAGAUUGGGGCAUUCUCUGUUCUUUGUUUGCAUCAUCUCCUCGUAUUUUUUACCCACAAGCAAUAUACGUUAUGUGCAUACAAAUAAUAGAUACAAGGGCUUUGGUAUUGUUGUUAGCAGGGAAUUAACUUGAUACGUUGUGAAUGAUUGAUUGUUCAACGACGAUGAUGCUUAGUGCUUGGCUUUGUUUUGAGUAAUGAUCUUCAAACAGGUGCAAAGUUGUGAGACUUGCAGUGAUGCAUCUUGUUCAUGCGUUAAACUCCUUAUCUUCCAAUUUAUAGACUGUGGCUUCAUAUCCUGUCAUGAUGUAAUUCUCCAUGAUAUCCUUUGUUCACAUUUUUUUCCUAAAGAAAGAAGAAAAACCUCAAAAAGAUCAUCUGACAUCCCAUAUUUAUAUAACGUAAUGAUAUGUUGGUUUCCACACCCACUUAUUCGGUCUCUUCCCCUGGAUAGGCUCUCCCUGUCAUGUCCCUGACUUCAUUUUUGUAUGUGCAUCCUUUUUACAACCAAUACAGUACCUCUAAAUAUUACGAGGAAGAGAAAGAUUAGAUCAUAAAUAAAAUCAUCGAGAUCAAAUUGGAAAUAGAUUAAACAAUUCACUCCCCUUUUUGGUUGGAUGAAAGAUAGGAAACCCUUCGCCAAUCCACUAAUAUAUGGAUCAGAUGGAAACAGGAAAACAGGGGAGAGCAGGGACAGGAGAAGAUGGAAAGCUGCAUGACGUGAAGCACCCAGAGUAUUGCUCUUUAAGCUCAUCAUUCAGGACAGAAACCAGUGAAGAGAAGGAGAACCAAACAAAGCUCCAUAAUACCUUUGGAAUGGCACUACACCUUUUAUUACAUAAGUCACGUAACAAGCAGAAGUCAGAUACCGGCUUCAACAAAACCAAAACAAAAGGGGACAAAGACCAUCCAACCUUCCGUUAUUAAUGCAAUCGUGUAUAGCCUCCUAAUUUAUUCACACUAAAUACUUCUUUCUAUCAUUCCCUCCUCAACAACUACGGUGUUUUCCAACUUGUUGCAUCUGCUCCUCCUGGUCGUGGACGCUACUCUGUUGGGACUGCUUCGUUCAAUAAUAAGGUGGUGGCGGUGGAGGGUAAGGCCCCGGCGGCGGUGGGCGUGGCGGAGGCGGUGCGUAAGGAUCGAAGAAGGCAGGUGGUGGAGGGGGCCCAGGUGGGCCUGGUGGUGGUGGUGGUGGUGCUGGUGAUGGCGGCGGUGCAGCGAAGGGGCUCGGACCGGGCGGCCAUGGUCCUGGUGGCGGUGGGGCAUAAGGACCUGGCGGUGGGGCAUAAGGAUCUGGUGGUGGUGGAGCGAAGGGACCGGGUGGCGGCGGCGGUGGAGGGUACCGGCGGCGGUCCAUGAGAGUAUCUGACCGAAGAUUGCGUAGAGAGAUGGCUUUGAAUUUGGCUUGUGCCUUCUUAUAUAAUGGUAAUGGAAGAAGGGUGGGAAGCCUUGACACGGCUGUCUUCUUGACCG